Molecule: long non-coding RNA, 256 nt
Filed under: Setaria viridis
Lineage: Eukaryota; Viridiplantae; Streptophyta; Magnoliopsida; Poales; Poaceae
Description: long non-coding RNA (SVIR_LNC003229)
Source: RNAcentral
GAUCGACCGAUUGGAAGGUUGGAGCGAUUGGGCCAAUAUGGGCUUAAGGUGGGCCAGAAAAAGAAGAUAAAGAAAGAUUGGCAUGUGAGAGUAUGAUAACCAACUCCAAUACAAGUUGCGUUUGUAAAUAUUCGUUUUUGUUUAAAAUUAGAGAUAGAUCCUAGUCGGUUAGGAAAUCAGUUGCAACAGGCUAUAAAUAGCCAUCUUUAGAGAUUUGUAAAAUAACAAAUCAAUCAAUACAAAUAGUCUUCUUUUU